AACGCGAAGAACCUUACCUACCCUUGACAUCCUCGGAAUUUAGCAGAGAUGCUGGAGUGCCUUCGGGAGCCGAGAGACAGGUGCUGCAUGGCUGUCGUCAGCUCGUGUCGUGAGAUGUUGGGUUAAGUCCCGUAACGAGCGCAACCCUUAUCCUUAGUUGCCAGCGGGUUAAGCCGGGAACUCUAGGGAGACUGCCGGUGAUAAACCGGAGGAAGGCGGGGACGACGUCAAGUCAUCAUGGCCCUUACGGGUAGGGCUACACACGUGCUACAAUGGGCAGUACAAAGGGAAGCGAAGCCGCGAGGUGGAGCGAAUCUCACUAAAGCUGCUCGUAGUCCGGAUUGGAGUCUGCAACUCGACUCCAUGAAGUUGGAAUCGCUAGUAAUCGCGGAUCAGAAUGCCGCGGUGAAUACGUUCCCGGGCCUUGUACACACCGACAUA
This 441-nucleotide ribosomal RNA is filed under the name uncultured bacterium. RNAcentral describes it as "bacterial SSU rRNA". It matches the Rfam family "Bacterial small subunit ribosomal RNA", at positions 958 to 1397 of the family's 1533-position model. The record is from RNAcentral.